This 528-nucleotide long non-coding RNA is filed under the name Zostera marina. RNAcentral's name for it is "long non-coding RNA (ZMAR_LNC001349)". The record is from RNAcentral. Lineage: Eukaryota; Viridiplantae; Streptophyta; Magnoliopsida; Alismatales; Zosteraceae.
AACAAUUCUUAUCCUUAAUUCCAUCCCCCUCUGAUGAGUGAGAUAGACUUGGUCGACGACAACGUUGAAGGAAGAGGAAGAUGAGAAGUGGUAUCGAAAGAAGGAUAAAAAAUGUGAAGAGAGAAGAUGGAGAAGAUGUCAGUUGGUGCGAUCUAUCAAGAAUUGAAAGACGCUCUUAGGUCCUUACUUUGCCUACAGGCCUCUGCCGCAACCAAGUCUUCCCCGUUGGCGUUGCCCACAUUUUCAUCCCCUUUUGGGAUUGAAUCGAUAGGUCAUGGAAUGACGUCCUGGUAACAAAAGAGGCAACAAGCGGCACACUUGCAGACUUAUGCAUUGGUAUGUCUGGAGUGAGAGGAAUUGUCAAUAGAUGACUAUUGUUAAUCGAGGUAUGAACUAAGAAGUUCCUCAGCGACCUGGAGAGCAAUUACAAGAAGUAGAUAAGAUCCAUAUUAGCAGUUGCGGCUGCAUGAUGUACAAAUUAUCCUAAGUUUUAUAAAAAUCAAUUAUCAGGUAUAUCGAGGUUAAAAU